GUACUCGCUUCAGCGGUGCGUAUACUAAAACUGGAACAAUACAGAGAUUAGCAUGGGCCCUGCACAAGGAUGACACGCAAAAUCGUGAAGCGUUCCACAUUUUG
Cryptotermes secundus is the source of this 104-nucleotide small nuclear RNA. NCBI's taxonomy places the organism in Eukaryota, Metazoa, Arthropoda, Insecta, Blattodea, Kalotermitidae. The record is from RefSeq and is a predicted model, not a curated record.